Molecule: ribosomal RNA, 440 nt
Filed under: uncultured bacterium
Lineage: Bacteria
Description: partial 16S ribosomal RNA
Rfam family: Bacterial small subunit ribosomal RNA
Source: RNAcentral
CCUACGGGGGGCAGCAGUGGGGGAUAUUGCACAAUGGGGGGAACCCUGAUGCAGCGACGCCGCGUGGGUGAAGAAGCGCCUCGGCGCGUAAAGCCCUGUCAGCAGGGAAGAAAAUGACGGUACCUGAAGAAGAAGCCCCGGCUAACUACGUGCCAGCAGCCGCGGUAAUACGUAGGGGGCAAGCGUUAUCCGGAUUUACUGGGUGUAAAGGGGGCGCAGACGGCGAUGCAAGCCAGGAGUGAAAGCCCGGGGCCCAACCCCGGGACUGCUCUUGGAACUGCGUGGCUGGAGUGCAGGAGGGGCAGGCGGAAUUCCUGGUGUAGCGGUGAAAUGCGUAGAGAUCAAGAGGAAUACUCAUUGCGAAGGCGACCUGCUGGAACAUUACUGACGCUGAUGCACGAAAGCGUGGGGAGCAAACAGGAUUAGAUACCCCAGUAGUC